This is a long non-coding RNA of Oncorhynchus tshawytscha (Chinook salmon), 431 nucleotides long. The record is from Ensembl. Lineage: Eukaryota; Metazoa; Chordata; Actinopteri; Salmoniformes; Salmonidae.
GACAGACAGACAGACAGGUCUACCAAGGGGAGAGAAUGUGAGACAGACAGACAGGUCUACCAAGGGGAGAGAAUGUGAGACAGACAGACAGACAGACAGACAGACAGACAGACAGGUCUACCAAGAGGAGAGAAUGUGAGACAGACAGACAGGUCUACCAAGAGGAGAGAGUGUGAGACAGACAGACAGGUCUACCAAGAGGAGAGAGUGUGAGACAGACAGGUGUAGUUGGAUGGUAGGACCAAGGGAAUAGAAGAACCAAGGGAUAUCAAAGGUUCCAGUGCGGUAUGCAGAUGGUCGGGUGGGACUGGGGAAAUUGCUCACCCUUUGAAAUGGCCGCUAAUCUGGAAUCACCUGAGAGUUUCCUGACCUGUUUGAUUGUAUUGAGCCUUUAAUCAAGAUCCCACAGCAGCUAUAUAGAUGAUCUACAU